UUGCAAUUUGCUUUUACAUUAAUUUUCUUACCGUUCGACCUACGGGUGCCUUUGGGCUGUGCUUACCUGAACCUCCAGCAGAAAUCAUUGCUGCACUGAGAAGUCUCAGGGCAUGGGGAAAGGGAGGAGGCCGACGCUUCAAUCAACAAUAGUAUCGCAUUCCAUCUCAAAACUCAAUCCAGCAUGGUGGCCAUAGGAAUCGUAGCUCUCUACUGUUGAAGAACAGAGUCCAGUCAAACAAAACAACUCAAGUCAGCACAACUGCACACGAGAUAAGGCUCUAUGGAUAACUACUGAUAAAGAUGUUGAGCAGGAUAAUUAUCCUCUAAGAUAGCAUAUAUUUGAAUUUUAAUCUGUUGAGAUUUAGAUAGAUUCAAAUGUAAUUAGAUUAGUUUACAUUAUUUUGAAGCACUUUGUACAAACCCUAUAUCAUCAAUUGAUAUGUUCAGGGUUUGUAA
Long non-coding RNA from Carya illinoinensis, 458 nucleotides. RefSeq lists it as uncharacterized. Lineage: Eukaryota; Viridiplantae; Streptophyta; Magnoliopsida; Fagales; Juglandaceae. The transcript has 2 exons. The record is from RefSeq and is a predicted model, not a curated record.